UACGGAGGGAGCUAGCGUUGUUCGGAAAUACUGGGCGUAAAGCGCACGUAGGCGGCGCAGCAAGUCAGGGGUGAAAUCCCGGGGCUCAACCCCGGAACUGCCUCUGAAACUGCAGUGCUAGAAUCUUGGAGAGGCGAGUGGAAUUCCGAGUGUAGAGGUGAAAUUCGUAGAUAUUCGGAAGAACACCAGUGGCGAAGGCGGCUCACUGGCCCGGUACUGACGCUGAGGUGCGAAAGCGUGGGGAGCAAACAGG
This 253-nucleotide ribosomal RNA is filed under the name uncultured bacterium. Its description in RNAcentral is "partial 16S ribosomal RNA". It matches the Rfam family "Bacterial small subunit ribosomal RNA", at positions 524 to 776 of the family's 1533-position model. The record is from RNAcentral.